CGCACCCGCCCAGUUCUGUGAUGCCUUGCGCUGCGCAGCAGGAGGAGAGAGGCCCGACUGGGGCUUCUGGUCCACCCGGAGCCAACCCGGAACCGUGACCACUGAAUAGCACCCCUCCGCUCCCAUUGGCGUGUCCAGUUCAAAGGAAAGAGCAGAGCUGCGAGGGUAAGGGUGUCGCCUUCUCUGGAGCCUCCGGGCGAGACCAUAUGUGGCGGCAGAAACCCGGGCCCGGCAGUCCUGCUUCUGCGCCUCAGUGUAGCUGUCCUUCAGUCCCGAGCCUCCACGUGCCAACCUUGCCAACGGUGCCAACCAGAGCUGACUGUGCCCGAGGGGACAGCGCUGGACGGGCUCCACGGGUGCAGCAGAAUUUGCUGACCGCCCAGCCUUCGGACCCCUCCUCUCAGAGGAAGGUGCCCCCAACCCUAGAGGCAAAACCUAGAGCUUGGGAGGGCCGCAGAGACUGCAGCAUCUUCAGGGACCCAUUCUGCUCAUGAGGACAUGGGCACAGAGAGGAGAACACCCUUGCCCCAUAUCUCACGGCUAGUCCUGGGCGGGUCAGUUUUGUUCAGAAUUAUUCCGAACGUCGUGCAGACCCUCCUUGGAGGAAGCCCAUUUAGUCUGAACGUCGAUCACUGCCCUUUGCUCCUGGGAGUGAAGAGAUACCUGCGCCGAGCAAUGAAUGUCAGCUCAGAAUUUACUAACCGUGCCUUAGGAAGAUGUCCCAGAACCUCAGAAACGGAAAACGCUCACGUCUGAAAACGGCUGAGACCAAUAAGCCUCUCGCUAAGGGGUCCGGAGGCGCCAGCCUUCGCCGGACGCAGCCGCGCACGCUGGGGAGGUGCUGGCGCGGCGGUAGCGCGGCGGGUGGAGGAGCGCGGCAGGUGCGAGGGCGUGCGCCCCCUCAGGCGAACAGGCGGGACCAGCGCCCCAGCUCCCCUAGGCAGCGGCGGGGAAUUUCGGGAGUUAUCUGUGCUCUGCCGCGCGGGAGGAGGGGAGCGGCUGCGCGCCCAGGAUCCGAUCCCUCGCGAGCGCGCCGGGGACUCUGUGCGCAGCGCGCCCCGCGCCGCCACCCGCGGGGAUCUCAGCGCGCCUCCCCUCGCGCAGAAACAGCUUUGACCCAGGAGGGUCAGCGAGACCAGGCUCCAGUUAGAGAAACAGAGGGGAGACGGGAAAUCGGGCAAGGUCUGUGUGUCUUUCGCCAAGGUCAAAAGCGGGUCUCUGCUCGGCUGUCCCCAUCCAUCCUGGCCACUCGCGCGCCCGCCUGUCUGCCGCGGUGCACCGCUCCGCGCCGCUCCCUGCUCGUGUGCUGCCGCCCCCGCGGGACCCAUUCCCGGGACACUUCUUCCCGUCCGCUGAGUCCACGCGAGAUCACUGCGAUGCCUCUGCUGUUUCUGACCCAACCCACGCCUUUAGGGCCGUCUCGGAGAGCUGGAGAGAGGCUGAGGCUGGUGUGAGCCCGCCGGUGUAAAUAUUAAAGUGUUUGGCUUCUCCGUAACACCUCUACCAGCGUAUGCCCCAGAGCAGGGCUUUGUUGACUAAAAUAAAUGUCUUAGGAAUGCAUUUUUAGGUACAAAUACAUUGGAUCAAAAAUUAGAUACAAAUACAUUGGAGAUUCCCACCGAGGGAGGCUGAAAAUAUUUCUCUGGGGAAAGAGUAGAGGGCUUUUUGCUUGAUUCUUUAUCCUGCUCUGAAGCAGAGAUCAUCCUGAGAUUCACUGCCUGAAGUGCGAGAGGAAGGGGCUCUUCGCACCUUUUCCCACCAAAAGCACUACAGGGAAGACGUUUGUGAAAGCGUUUGCAGAAGCAAAGGUAAAGAACAGCCUGUGGAUAUAGCUGCACCACUGACCUGGAAGAACUGGCCCCAAAAGGCAGAGAGAGCUGCCACUCCGGUUGCAGGCUCCAGUUGGAAGCUUUGACUGCUUCCUCUAACCAGCUGGGAGACUGACAGCAGGACUGGGGCCAGUAGCUCUCUUCCUUUUGAUGCUACAGGGUUCCCUUAGCAGGGAACUGCAGGAAGACAUCCCUGGCAGUAUACUGGGAGGAAAAGAGAUGCUCUACGCUGGUACACAGGCCUCUGAGCAGAGGGGACCCCGAUCUUUGCACCCAGUCAUCUGUAGCCAGACAACCUAGAGUCAACCCCAACCCUGCCUGUUACUGAUUUAUUGCCAUUGCACCUCAGUUUGCUCAUCUGAAAACAGUGUAGCGAUAGAAUUUAUCGAUAAGGUUUUGCUGAGGAUUACAUGAGUUAAAGUGGCGCAGGGUAGUGCCUGACAUAACACUUCCUCAAUUACCCAUACCCGGCAUACAGUAAGCACUUGAUAUAUGUUAAGUAUUUUUGAAAGACACAACUGCUCACCUAGGAAGGAAUCUCAGGUCUUUUCUUGGAUUCAAACAGAUGCAGAGGCCACCACAAACCAUGGGCAGAAGAUUUGUGGAGAGAGGCUCUAAGUGCUGCUUUGUAGCUUGUCGGGAGGCCUUCCCAGUCUGGACUCUGGAUGUCAAUGUCAACUCUGCUACUUGCUAGCCUAAUCUGUGGGCUAGAAGUCUUAAAUCAGUGUCACUGGACUGAAUUCAGGUGUGGGCAAGGUUAUCCUGCCUCUGCAAGCUCCAGGGAAGAAUUUGGUGUUUCAUCCCUUGCUCCUACUGGCUGCUACCAUUCCUCACUGGCCCCCUGUUGAAACAGCAUGCAGAAACACUGAAAUGACACCCAGGAUUUGGAGGCAGAUUUAUUUAUGCUGAUGGGCACUGGUCAGGAUCACUCCCAGAAUAUCAGGCUCUGAUCUCUGGUGGUCUAGGACUUAUACGGGAUAAGCAGGCAAGAAGUACAGAAGCAGAAUCAACUGACAAUUGGGGAUUGGUCUAUACAAUGUGCAUCACAGUGACCAGAGACAGAAGCAAAUGGAACUGGAACAGGAACUAUUACCUGGGCAACUAAGAAACUGAAGUACACUGGCUGGUGGGGGGUGGGGGGGAUACUUUCUGUUACACUGUAACUGGAAUAGCAUUGCUUUCUGUUUCUGUCUGAGUCAAAUCUUCUUCCACUUCUCCCUUAUAAGGAUACAUGUGAUUACACUGAGUCCACCAGAACAAUCCAGGAUAAUCUUUCUAUCUCAAGAUUUUUCACUGAAUGACAUCUGAAAGGUGCUGCCUCCAAAUAAAUUAACAUUUAUACUCUC
Molecule: RNA transcript, 3175 nt
Organism: Chinchilla lanigera (long-tailed chinchilla)
Lineage: Eukaryota; Metazoa; Chordata; Mammalia; Rodentia; Chinchillidae
Gene: Rab28
Gene name: RAB28, member RAS oncogene family
Exons: 3
Source: RefSeq, a predicted model, not a curated record